GACGAACGCUGGCGGCGUGCCUAAUACAUGCAAGUCGAGCGGACUUUCAAGAAGCUUGCUUUUUGAAAGUUAGCGGCGGACGGGUGAGUAACACGUGGGCAACCUGCCUGUAAGACGGGGAUAACUCCGGGAAACCGGGGCUAAUACCGGAUAAUAUCUUUCUUCGCAUGAAGGAAGGUUGAAAGGCGGCGCAAGCUGCCGCUUGCAGAUGGGCCCGCGGCGCAUUAGCUAGUUGGUGAGGUAACGGCUCACCAGGGCGACGAUGCGUAGCCGACCUGCGAGGGUGAUCGGCCACACUGGGACUGAGACACGGCCCAGACUCCUACGGGAGGCAGCAGUAGGGAAUCUUCCGCAAUGGACGAAAGUCUGACGGAGCAACGCCGCGUGAGCGAAGAAGGUCUUCGGAUCGUAAAGCUCUGUUGUCAGGGAAGAACAAGUACCGUUCGAAUAGGGCGGUACCUUGACGGUACCUGACCAGAAAGCCACGGCUAACUACGUGCCAGCCGCCGCGGUAA
RNAcentral lists this ribosomal RNA (515 nucleotides) under uncultured bacterium. RNAcentral's name for it is "partial 16S ribosomal RNA". It matches the Rfam family "Bacterial small subunit ribosomal RNA", at positions 28 to 523 of the family's 1533-position model. The record is from RNAcentral.